GAGGGUAUAGCUCAGUGGUAGAGUAUAUGCCUAUCAUGCAGGAGGUCCUAGGUUCAAUCCCCAGUACCUCCA
Molecule: transfer RNA, 72 nt
Filed under: Camelus bactrianus (Bactrian camel)
Lineage: Eukaryota; Metazoa; Chordata; Mammalia; Artiodactyla; Camelidae
Also listed under: 2 other names
Rfam family: tRNA
About the family: Transfer RNA (tRNA) molecules are approximately 80 nucleotides in length. Their secondary structure includes four short double-helical elements and three loops (D, anti-codon, and T loops).
Source: Rfam by way of RNAcentral